GGAGGAAAGCAGGGGAUCGCAAGACCUUGCGCUCUUGGAGCGGCCGAUGCCUGAUUAGCUAGUUGGUGAGGUAAAGGCUUACCAAGGCGACGAUCAGUAGCUGGUCUGAGAGGACGACCAGCCACACUGGGACUGAGACACGGCCCAGACUCCUACGGGAGGCAGCAGUGGGGAAUUUUGGACAAUGGGGGAAACCCUGAUCCAGCCAUGCCGCGUGAGUGAAGAAGGCCUUCGGGUUGUAAAGCUCUUUCAGCCGGAACGAAACGGUCACGGCUAAUACCUGUGACUACUGACGGUACCGGAAGAAGAAGCACCGGCUAACUACGUGCCAGCAGCCGCGGUAAUACGUAGGGUGCAAGCGUUAAUCGGAAUUACUGGGCGUAAAGCGUGCGCAGGCGGUUUUGUAAGUCAGAUGUGAAAUCCCCGGGCUUAACCUGGGAACUGCGUUUGAAACUACAAGGCUAG
RNAcentral lists this ribosomal RNA (465 nucleotides) under uncultured bacterium. Its description in RNAcentral is "bacterial SSU rRNA". It matches the Rfam family "Bacterial small subunit ribosomal RNA", at positions 198 to 644 of the family's 1533-position model. The record is from RNAcentral.